GAACGCAUAGUCCAAGGGUUAAGACGCCCACUCCAUGAACCCUCUACUAAGUAGUGCUUGCGCUGAUUGGACCGAAAGGACCACGGGCAGGACGCAGUUGGCGAGAAGCCGCAGCGUGGUUAAUGUGGGAGAUGCUAGUUCGAGUCUAGCUGCGUUCA
Alternaria alternata is the source of this 158-nucleotide non-coding RNA. NCBI's taxonomy places the organism in Eukaryota, Fungi, Ascomycota, Dothideomycetes, Pleosporales, Pleosporaceae. The record is from the annotation of a RefSeq genome assembly.